Molecule: ribosomal RNA, 495 nt
Filed under: uncultured bacterium
Lineage: Bacteria
Description: bacterial SSU rRNA
Rfam family: Bacterial small subunit ribosomal RNA
Source: RNAcentral
AUUGAACGCUGGCGGAAUGCUUUACACAUGCAAGUCGAACGGCAGCACGGGGCAACCUGGUGGCGAGUGGCGAACGGGUGAGUAAUACAUCGGAACGUGCCCAAUCGUGGGGGAUAACGUAGCGAAAGUUACGCUAAUACCGCAUACGAUCUACGGAUGAAAGCGGGGGAUCGCAAGACCUCGCGCGAAUGGAGCGGCCGAUGUCAGAUUAGGUAGUUGGUGGGGUAAAGGCUCACCAAGCCAACGAUCUGUAGCUGGUCUGAGAGGACGACCAGCCACACUGGAACUGAGACACGGUCCAGACUCCUACGGGAGGCAGCAGUGGGGAAUUUUGGACAAUGGGCGCAAGCCUGAUCCAGCCAUUCCGCGUGCAGGAUGAAGGCCUUCGGUUGUAAACUGCUUUGUUACGGAACGAAACGGCGAGCUCUAAUACAGUUUGCUAAUGACGGUACCGUAAGAAUAAGCACCGGCUAACUACGUGCCAGCAGCCGCGGU